UACGUAGGGCGCAAGCGUUGUCCGGAAUUAUUGGGCGUAAAGAGCUCGUAGGCGGUUUGUCGCGUCUGCCGUGAAAACCCGAGGCUUAACCUCGGGCUGGCGGUGGAAACGGGCAGACUAGAGGUAGGUAGGGGAGAAUGGAAUUCCCGGUGUAGCGGUGAAAUGCGCAGAUAUCGGGAGGAACACCGGUGGCGAAGGCGGUUCUCUGGGCCUUACCUGACGCUGAGGAGCGAAAGCGUGGGGAGCGAACAGG
RNAcentral lists this ribosomal RNA (253 nucleotides) under uncultured bacterium. RNAcentral's name for it is "partial 16S ribosomal RNA". It matches the Rfam family "Bacterial small subunit ribosomal RNA", at positions 524 to 776 of the family's 1533-position model. The record is from RNAcentral.